This 505-nucleotide ribosomal RNA is filed under the name uncultured bacterium. RNAcentral's name for it is "partial 16S ribosomal RNA". It matches the Rfam family "Bacterial small subunit ribosomal RNA", at positions 28 to 507 of the family's 1533-position model. The record is from RNAcentral.
GACGAACGCUGGCGGCGUGCCUAAUACAUGCAAGUAGAACGCACAGUUUAUACCGUAGCUUGCUACACCAUAGACUGUGAGUUGCGAACGGGUGAGUAACGCGUAGGUAACCUGCCUGGUAGCGGGGGAUAACUAUUGGAAACGAUAGCUAAUACCGCAUAAUAUUAAUUAUUGCAUGAUAAUUAAUUGAAAGGUGCAAUUGCACCACUACCAGAUGGACCUGCGUUGUAUUAGCUAGUAGGUGAGGUAACGGCUCACCUAGGCGACGAUACAUAGCCGACCUGAGAGGGUGAUCGGCCACACUGGGACUGAGACACGGCCCAGACUCCUACGGGAGGCAGCAGUAGGGAAUCUUCGGCAAUGGAUGAAAGUCUGACCGAGCAACGCCGCGUGAGUGAAGAAGGUUUUCGGAUCGUAAAGCUCUGUUGUAAGAGAAGAACGGGUGUGAGAGUGGAAAGUUCACACUGUGACGGUAUCUUACCAGAAAGGGACGGCUAACUACGUG